This 852-nucleotide ribosomal RNA is filed under the name Bacillus sp. (in: firmicutes). Its description in RNAcentral is "bacterial SSU rRNA". It matches the Rfam family "Bacterial small subunit ribosomal RNA", at positions 49 to 883 of the family's 1533-position model. Lineage: Bacteria; Bacillati; Bacillota; Bacilli; Caryophanales; Bacillaceae. The record is from RNAcentral.
CUAUACAUGCAGUCGAGCGGACAGAUAAGGAGCUUGCUCCUUUGACUUAGCGGCGGACGGGUGAGUAACACGUGGGCAACCUGCCCCUUAGACUGGGAUAACUCCGGGAAACCGGAGCUAAUACCGGAUAAUCCCUUUCUCCACCUGGAGAGAGGGUGAAAGAUGGCUUCGGCUAUCACUAAGGGAUGGGCCCGCGGCGCAUUAGCUAGGUGGUAAGGUAACGGCUUACCAAGGCAACGAUGCGUACCCGACCUGAGAGGGUGAUCGGCCACACUGGGACUGAGACACGGCCCACACUCCUACGGGAGGCAGCAGUAGGGAAUCUUCCGCAAUGGACGAAAGUCUGACGGAGCAACGCCGCGUGAGUGAGGAAGGCCUUCGGGUCGUAAAGCUCUGUUGUGAGGGAAGAAGCGGUACCGUUCGAAUAGGGCGGUGCCUUGACGGUACCUCACCAGAAAGCCACGGCUAACUACGUGCCAGCAGCCGCGGUAAUACGUAGGUGGCAAGCGUUGUCCGGAAUUAUUGGGCGUAAAGCGCGCGCAGGCGGCUUCUUAAGUCUGAUGUGAAAUCUCGGGGCUCAACCCCGAGCGGCCAUUGGAAACUGGGGAGCUUGAGUGCAGAAGAGGAGAGUGGAAUUCCACGUGUAGCGGUGAAAUGCGUAGAGAUGUGGAGGAACACCAGUGGCGAAGGAGACUCUCUGGUCUGUAACUGACGCUGAGGCGCGAAAGCGUGGGGAGCAAACAGGAUUAGAUACCCUGGUAGUCCACGCCGUAAACGAUGAGUGCUAUGUGUUAGGGGUCUCCAUGCCCGUAGUGCCAAGUUAACACAUUAAGCACUCCCGCCGGGGAAUAC